UACAGAGGUGGCAAGCGUUGUUCGGAAUUACUGGGCGUAAAGGGCGCGUAGGCGGUCUUUUAAGUCUUGUGUGAAAUCCCUUGGCUCAACCGAGGAACUGCACGGGAUACUGGAAGACUUGAGUUCGGGAGAGGGAAGCGGAAUUCCGGGUGGAGUGGUGAAAUGCGUAGAGAUCCGGAGGAACACCAGAGGCGAAGGCGGCCUACUGGGUCAGUACUGACGCUGAGCCGCGAAAGCCAGGGGAGCGAACGGG
RNAcentral lists this ribosomal RNA (253 nucleotides) under uncultured bacterium. RNAcentral's name for it is "partial 16S ribosomal RNA". It matches the Rfam family "Bacterial small subunit ribosomal RNA", at positions 524 to 776 of the family's 1533-position model. The record is from RNAcentral.